This 99-nucleotide ribosomal RNA is filed under the name uncultured bacterium. RNAcentral describes it as "partial 16S ribosomal RNA". It matches the Rfam family "Bacterial small subunit ribosomal RNA", at positions 392 to 508 of the family's 1533-position model. The record is from RNAcentral.
CAACGCCGCGUGGAGGAUGAAAUCCCUUGGGAUGUAAACUCCUUUCGAUCGGGACGAUUAUGACGGUACCGGAGGAAGAAGCCCCGGCUAACUUCGUGC